RNAcentral lists this small RNA (3416 nucleotides) under Pongo abelii (Sumatran orangutan). Its description in RNAcentral is "retained intron". Lineage: Eukaryota; Metazoa; Chordata; Mammalia; Primates; Hominidae. The record is from RNAcentral.
UUUGUCAGGUACCUUCCCAAGAGUAGGCUAUGAUUCUUCUGUCAUUCCCACAUUCAAUCAGUUGCAAAGCCUGUACAUGUUACCAUGCCUCUCUGAUUCAGUGCCUCCAUUACCUCUUAUCCACGUUCAGGCAAUAGCUUCUCUACAGGUCUUCAUACCUUCUGUAGCAAACUGUUACUCCAACUCAUUCUUUGCCUGUUGCCAUGUUAAUAUCCCAAUGGUAAAUCUUCUGUCCUGCUUAAAAACUUUCAUUACCUCCCCAAAGUCUCUCAAAUUAAUAAAUCUCUGUCAUUCAGCAUUCAACCUCUGUCACCUGCACUCAUAAGCACAGAACUGGUCACAUUUUUUAAAAUGUCUAUUUUUUUGUAAUUGAUUGUCUGCCUCCCCUAGCAGGCUGCAAGGUGUACGGGAGCAGCAAUUGUGCCUGUUUUGCUUAUUUUUAUACUUAGUCCCUUGCCAGGUAUGUGGAAGGGAUGUGCUGAAUAAAUUAGCUUUUCCAACCUUACUUCUUAAUCUUUCUCUCCUCUAAUAUGAUUCCAACCCAGCUGGAUCAUAUACUAUUUUCUGAAUAUGCCCUAUGCUUUCUCAUCUUCGGACCUCUGUUCAUGUUCUAUUAACACAGCUGCCAGUUAUUAACAGUGAUAUUAUGGUUGAACGCCUACCAUACAAUCACACAGUUGAUGCAAAUUUCAACUUACACAUUAUUAUUUCUGUGAUCCUGGGCAAGUUUCCUAGCUCCUGUGAAUCUUGGCUUUUGGUUUUUCCAUUUAUGAGAUGGGAAUCUAGUAAUUCCCACCCCAUACUUUUGUAUGAGGAUCAGAUGAGCCAGGACACAGGUUGAAAGCCUUGGUACAUGUCCAGUAUGGGUUGCUAUUGUUAUAUUGCAUGCUAGGCUCUUCACAGACCUGGCUCUAGUUCUCAAAGCAGCCCUGUGGGAAAGGUACUGGUGGUUCCAAUUUAGAGAUGAAGAAAUAGAGGCUCAGAAAGGCUUAGUUGCCUGCAGCUGGUGAGUAAUACAGCCGGAUUCUGACCUAGGGCUGCUCAUGCCAAACCUGGCUUUUUCUACUGUCCCCACUCAUUUCCACUUAUAGGAAUUGCAUCUGUCCUUUGAAGCUCCCCGCAAAUGCCAUCACUUCCAAGAGAGCUGUUUUGAUUCUCUCCUGGUCUGAUACCUUCUCCCAUGCAUGAUGUUUUUAUCUGUGGUCAGUAGUAGUAUACUUAGAGAUCUGGGUUUCUGUGGGUAGCUCUACCCAUGAGACAGGCUUGAGAAUGCCUGCCUGUCAAUUGAAUUCCUCUAAAUUUGCUCUCUGGCCAUAUUGUCUUAAUUCUUUCUUUUCUAUACUUUAGUCCAAGUAGACUCUAAAAGCCUUUCUCUAGGGCAUACCCAGAGAUAAGCCAUAUAAACUAUUGCCUUCUGGUCCAAAUUUGUUUCCCUUCAGCGAAAUGGUCCUCAUCCCAACAACCUUUUAGUCUGGACAUAUGAAAUCUGAAAUGCUUCUGUACUCUUUUGCUAUCUUACUGUAGAAUCACAAACAUAUCAAACUGUAAAACCAUUGAGCAGGCCUUGCUCUGUUUUUGUGCAGGAAGAGACCCAAGGAGCAAGGAAUGUAUACUUACCAGAAACUUACUAUAGACCCAGCAUGAUAUUUAGUUAUGAAUAAUACAGAGAAGGAAACCUGGACCUUGUUUUCAAGAAAUUCAGUUGGUUCCAGGCACCAAGCACUGAACUAAGUGCUUUAUUAACAUGAUCUAAUCCAUUUCCCGGGGGCUGCUGGAGAUGUUGGCUAACUGCGUUUACCCUCCGGAUCUCUCAUUCUAGGUUUUCAUACUCUGCACACCAUCCUUGGGGUCCAGUGUCUCCCUUUGCAUAACCUGCUGCAUUGCAUUGACAGUGGAGUGUUGCUUCUCACUGAAACAGCUGUCAUAAGGCUCAUGAAAGAUCUGGACAAUACAGAGAAAAAUGAAAAACUGAAAUUCAGUAUCAUUGUGCGGCUUCCUCCGCUUAUUGGUCAGAAGAUUUGUAGACUUUGGGAUCAUCCUAUGAGUUCUAACAUCAUUUCACGGAACCACGUGACGCGACUGCUUCAGAACUAUAAGAAACAGGUGCGUUUCUCUGAAAGCACAGCCAACUAAAUGUUUUUAGGAUCCUGUUUGCCCGUGACAACAUAUCUGUAUUUUAAAAUUGUGCUUAUUGUGGAGAACCAACUUACACCAGAAGUGGUUUCCCUUUUAGCGUCGGAAUUCUAUGAUUGACAAGUCAUCGUUCAGUGUAGAAUUUCUGCCUCUGAACUACUUCAUUGAAAUUCUGACAGAUAUAGAGUCCUCCAAUCAAGGUAAUUUACUCCCCUGUUCUCAGGGUCUUUCCACUUUUCCCUUGACACAUCAGUCCUUCCCUAUUCACUUCUUUGAACUGUUUUCUUUCCAAAAUCCUUUUAACAUACAAGUAGGCCCUUAUAGCAAUUGGUUUACAUUAGCAGUACCCAAUUUACUACCUAGAGUAAAUUACCAAAUAUCACCUCUGAAGUUUUAAAAGAGUCAAGAGGUUUAAAGCCCAUUUGGUUGAUGCAAAUGUUCUUGGUGCUAAAGUUUAAUAAAAUUUAAGAACACAUUCUUAAAAAAUUCAUUUUACUAAAAUACCAUUAUGAUUUUAAUGAGCUGUGAGCACAAAGUUAUAAAUGUUUCACGGCCCCAUGGUAACCCUUUUUCCCUGCCCCCUUCCCAUUUUUUUCCAGCCCUGUAUCCUUUUGAAGGACGUGACAAUGUGGAUGCAGAAUUUGUAGAGGAAGCAGCUCUGAAACACACCACGAUGCUUUUAGGCUUAUGAAAAAGAAAACGCAAUUGGAUCUGCUGCUGCCAUUUUAAUCUUGCUCAUUAACCUUACUCCUUUGAGAAUUCUUUAACAAUAUUUGAAAUUGGGAACAAAAAUAAAUUGUUUAGCCAUCUGAGUUUCAGGUUGGUACACGUUCGGACAGAACUGCUGUAUCACAUUCCAAUUGUGAGCAAUCAAGUGUAGAGAAAUGAUAAAUAGCCUAAGGCGGCAUACAGUGGCAUAAACAAUGCUCUUCCUAGUAGCUUAAUAGGCCAUAAGCUAGUUUCUGUUGCACUCUGAAAUAAAAUAUGCUUUAAAAAUGUAGGGAACAGUGCUUAGAAAAGCAAAAACUAGGUGUGUCAUUGAAAUAAUAGGCAGAAAAAUUAAAUGUUACAUAAGAACACUAUUUGGAAAGAGGCUCCUUUUAAAAACUGAAUUUGUACUAAAUCAGAUUUGCCAUGUCCAGUACAGAAUAAUUUGUACUUUUAGUAUUUGCAGCAGGGUUUGUCUUUGUGAAUUCAGAUGAAACGUAUUUAAUUUUUUUUAUUUAUAAAAGGUUGAUUGAUUUAGGAAUAUUUUGUCAUUAAAAAGCCAAACCUGAAAACAA